Molecule: ribosomal RNA, 491 nt
Filed under: uncultured bacterium
Lineage: Bacteria
Description: partial 16S ribosomal RNA
Rfam family: Bacterial small subunit ribosomal RNA
Source: RNAcentral
AGUGAACGCUGGCGGUAGGCCUAACACAUGCAAGUCGAACGGCAGCACAGUAAGAGCUUGCUCUUACGGGUGGCGAGUGGCGGACGGGUGAGGAAUACAUCGGAAUCUACUUUUUCGUGGGGAUAACGUAGGGAAACUUACGCUAAUACCGCAUACGACCUACGGGUGAAAGCAGGGGAUCUUCGGACCUUGCGCGAUUGAAUGAGCCGAUGUCGGAUUAGCUAGUUGGCGGGGUAAAGGCCCACCAAGGCGACGAUCCGUAGCUGGUCUGAGAGGAUGAUCAGCCACACUGGAACUGAGACACGGUCCAGACUCCUACGGGAGGCAGCAGUGGGGAAUAUUGGACAAUGGGCGCAAGCCUGAUCCAGCCAUACCGCGUGGGUGAAGAAGGCCUUCGGGUUGUAAAGCCCUUUUGUUGGGAAAGAAAAGCAGCAGGUUAAUACCCCGCUGUUCUGACGGUACCAAAAGAAUAAGCACCGGCUAACUUCGUG